RNAcentral lists this ribosomal RNA (429 nucleotides) under Bacteroidota bacterium. RNAcentral describes it as "Bacteroidetes bacterium partial 16S ribosomal RNA". It matches the Rfam family "Bacterial small subunit ribosomal RNA", at positions 355 to 776 of the family's 1533-position model. Lineage: Bacteria; Pseudomonadati; Bacteroidota. The record is from RNAcentral.
UAGGGAAUCUUCCGCAAUGGACGCAAGUCUGACGGAGCAACGCCGCGUGAGUGAAGAAGGAUUUCGGUUCGUAAAACUCUGUUGUUAGAGAAGAACAGCGCAUAGAGUAACUGUUAUGCGUGUGACGGUAUCUAACCAGAAAGCCACGGCUAACUACGUGCCAGCAGCCGCGGUAAUACGUAGGUCCCGAGCGUUGUCCGGAUUUAUUGGGCGUAAAGCGAGCGCAGGCGGUUAGAAAAGUCUGAAGUGAAAGCCCCCGGCUCAACCGGGGAGGGUCAUUGGAAACUGGUUGACUUGAGUGCAGAAGAGGAGAGUGGAAUUCCAUGUGUAGCGGUGAAAUGCGUAGAUAUAUGGAGGAACACCAGUGGCGAAGGCGACUCUCUGGUCUGUAACUGACGCUGAGGCUCGAAAGCGUGGGGAGCGAACAGG